GGCGCAUUCGUCUAGGGGUCUAGGACGCCGCCCUCUCACGGCGGAAACCCGGGUUCGAAUCCCGGAUGCGCUA
Molecule: transfer RNA, 73 nt
Filed under: Paludibacteraceae bacterium
Lineage: Bacteria; Pseudomonadati; Bacteroidota; Bacteroidia; Bacteroidales; Paludibacteraceae
Description: tRNA-Glu
Rfam family: tRNA
About the family: Transfer RNA (tRNA) molecules are approximately 80 nucleotides in length. Their secondary structure includes four short double-helical elements and three loops (D, anti-codon, and T loops).
Source: RNAcentral